UAUUUGACAGUUUCUUUCUCAUCUGAAUAUUUAUUUUUGUAUACAUUAUUUCUCAAAUUUUUCAUAUGUCAUGUAAAUUUUCAAAAACAGUUUUCAUCGUUUAGCAAACUUGUGAACGUAGUAAAGAAGAAGAAGACUUCAAAUUUUUCAGAAAUGGAUAUCUUCGAUUUUGAUUUGUAUGAAUACCAUCAAAAACCUUUUGUGGAGUGUUCCCUACAACAAAUUAAGGCUAAAUUAAUAGAAGUAGCCGUUCCUUCGCAAUUUUCCGACCUAGUUGAUAUGUUUGGAUCCAGAAAAACAAACUAAGCGAUCAAGAGGCGGUGUAUCUGAAAGUUGCAGUAAUGUGAGCAGCAACAGUUUGAAGGAACCCCACACUAUCAACAGCAGGAACAAUCUAACUGGAAAAUCCGAUGACCUAAAAAUUUUGCUUUUUUCUUCUUGACGCCUGAAUAGUGGAUGGUGGAAAUUAGCAUUGAGAGAAUUAAUCACUGAGCUGCUUGAAUACUUCUGACACCGUCCUUACCUUUUCGAAUGAUGGAGAGCACAAACUCGGCCAGGUUAACAACUUUACCUUUGUUGCAGACCGAGAUAUGCCGUGAAUGAGGGCAAGAAAAAUUUUUUUUUUUGAUUAAAAACCUAUACCAAAUGCAUGUUGGAAUUGACAGAUUCAGCCCAGAACCUGCUCUUGAGAAGAUACGAAUGCUACAGAGUGGUAAUUUCCCGAAAAAACCCAGAACCUGCUAGUUUCCUACAAUCAACUACGAGGGUAUGAGCCUCUAUCAGAUUUCUCGAAAAAUGUCAAAAUCAGGAAUUGACUUAUCUGGGAGAAAAGCUGCUUGAUGCUACAGCCGAUUAGAAAUAUCCAUAAAAAGAAUAAGGUCUCAAAGGUGUCUAUCUUAAACAAUAGUCAUGUCAGUAACAGCCUGCUAGCGGGUAAAUUUUCGGGAUUUUUAUUCGAUUAAAAACUUCUUGAUGCGAUUGUUUUGAGACGCUCAUGUAUAAUUUUGUUGAAAAUAGAAAUUGCGGGAAAAUAAUUUUGAUCCUGUUAGAGUUUUCCCGCUGGAAGCUUGUUGAAAGUUUGCGCCGCUUUAUGAAUUGGAACGUGUCCAGUUUAUGUUCGAGAAGACACCGCUGGUGGGAAUCGUGUUGACUAUCAGAGCCGCGUAGAGACGAUGAUGGCGAAACGGGGUGUAUUUCGAACGAUUUGUAAGACAUGGCUAUUUCCAAGGAACUUCCAACAUCUAUCUAAGAUUUGGUUGGAAAAUCCAUGUUCUAAUGAAUCGUGGCAAAAUAUGCUGCCUUUACUCAGUAAGGUUAUUAAGUGCGUCAUAGUUAAAAGUGAUAUUUAUGUACAAAGUAAUGAUGCAAAAAACAAGA
This is a long non-coding RNA of Uranotaenia lowii, 1377 nucleotides long. RefSeq lists it as uncharacterized. The transcript has 5 exons. The record is from RefSeq and is a predicted model, not a curated record. NCBI's taxonomy places the organism in Eukaryota, Metazoa, Arthropoda, Insecta, Diptera, Culicidae.